GGGGCGGGGGGGUGAGCUCAGGUCCGGUCCUCGGUGGGGGAGACCAGACCAGCCCAUCCCGCCCCACAGCGUGCCCUCCCAUUGGCCCACCAGGCCUGGGCACCCCCUGCGCACUCCCGAUCUCGUUCCCUACUCAUUUCAGGAGGGCGGUGUGUGGGGCAGGGCAUGGGGCAGCGUGUGGGACAGAGCGUGGAGCGCCGCAUGGGGCAACAUGCGGCGCAGUGCAAGUGGCGGUGUGUUGUGUGGGUCACUGUGGGAUGCUGUGUGGGGCAGCGCGUGGGAGGGGCUUGGGGCCGUCCCGGGUGAGGGUGUGCAGGCCGCUCCGCCACGUGGCAGCGCCCAGCAGCCGCCUCCACAGGCCGUGUCUGUCCAUGCAGCGUGCCAGCUGGUCCAGCUCCGCGCACAGCAGCAAACUGCGCAUCACCUCCAGCGCCGUUCUGCGCGGAAAUGGGCAGCGUGCGGUCAGGGGGCAGCGAAGAGCCAGGGCUCAACACGGGGUCAGGGUGGAGCGAGCUCCCCGGACGACACCAGCUGGAAGAUGAGCGCCACGAAGAGCUCCGGGAAGAACCUGCGCACCUGCGUGCUGUACCUCCGGCACCGCAGGAUCUCGUGCAGCGCCAUGGCCGCCUGCGGAAAGCAGCCAGGCAGCGCUCAGCACCGAGCCGCUCCCCCUGUGGUCAGGGCAGGGGGUUCACCAGGGGCCCCUGAACUCACGGUGGGGGGAAGCCCGCCGGUCUCAGUCUCGUGGUCCGGCGGCGCCGUCUCCAGCAGCUGCAGCAGCUCAUGCAGCAUCUGUGGCACCACGCUCUCCGGGGACAACGCCAUCUCCCACAGUUCCCACGUGUCCCUGCGGCACGGAGCUGUCCUCAGCGGGAGCUCCUCUAUGAGUGGGGUGGGGGUCCCUCUUUGCAUCGGCUGGGAGUCCCUCUCCACAUGGGGUGGGGGCAGGCUCAGUCCUCGGGCAAGCAGCUGCCAGUUGCUCCCAUCGUCGGGCGUCCGGUUGAGGUGGACCAUCAGCACGGUCAGCGUGCUGGUAGCCAUCUGGGUGUUGUAGUCGCUGCAGUCCGUCAUGCCCCGCAGCGCCACGAGGAUGUCGGUCUUCUCCGAAGAGUGGAGGUGUUCCACAAAGCUCUGGGGUGUGGGGGGGAAGGCAACAUGAGCCGUGUUCC
RNAcentral lists this long non-coding RNA (1169 nucleotides) under Numida meleagris (helmeted guineafowl). Its description in RNAcentral is "lncRNA (ENSNMEG00000000213.1)". Lineage: Eukaryota; Metazoa; Chordata; Aves; Galliformes; Numididae. The record is from RNAcentral.